Molecule: ribosomal RNA, 440 nt
Filed under: uncultured bacterium
Lineage: Bacteria
Description: partial 16S ribosomal RNA
Rfam family: Bacterial small subunit ribosomal RNA
Source: RNAcentral
CCUACGGGAGGCUGCAGUGGGGAAUAUUGCACAAUGGUGGAAACCCUGAUGCAGCGACGCCGCGUGAGUGAAGAAGUAAUUCGUUAUGUAAAGCUCUAUCAGCAGGGAAGAAAAUGACGGUACCUGAGUAAGAAGCCCCGGCUAACUACGUGCCAGCAGCCGCGGUAAGACGGAGGGGGCAAGCGUUAUCCGGAUUUACUGGGUGUAAAGGGAGCGUAGACGGCAGUGCAAGUCUGGAGUGAAAGGCGGGGGCUCAACCCCCGGACUGCUCUGGAAACUGUACGGCUGGAGUGCAGGAGAGGUAAGUGGAAUGCCGAGUGUAGCGGUGAAAUGCGUAGAGAUUAGGAGGAACACCAGUGGCGAAGGCGGCUUACUGGACUGUAACUGACGUUGAGGCUCGAAAGCGUGGGGAGCAAACAGGAUUAGAUACCCCAGUAGUC